GGGGGUGCAGAUGGGGAGAGAGAGCACUUAGAAGUAGAGCAUGGGGUGGUGAAAGGACAAAUUUCAGAGUGUCCAAGGCCUAUUUAUGCUUUAGGACAGACUAGAAUCCUUACCAUUGCCUACUAGGUUAGCAAGAUCUAGCCCCAGCCUAGCUCCCUGUGCUCCAACCACAGGCCUGAGUUGAAAGAAAACUAAACUCCUGUGACUUAUAAUAAAUACUGCCAAGGAGGGAAGGCGAAGAUGUCAGUGUGACUCCAUUGUGGCCUAAGGAAGAUGUGUCUUGACUCUACACACAGACAUACUGAUCUCUUGGCAGGAAGCCCCUUGGAGUGGAGGUGGAGCGCUCAGGUGGGGCAGCUUGAGGUCCCUGGUCACUAAGAUCUUUCCUCUGCUCUGACUCCAAGCAAAUCAAGUUUCCUGAGUCAUCUGACUGUGUCAACUGUCCCUGGGAAAGAAUGCAGGCAUAGCUGGCCCCUGAACAGAUCCAUUCCCCACUGUAGUGAGUGCCUGGGUAUUUUAUCUAUCUCUUUUACGAGUUCUGUCCACUACCCACCAACACACAAAAGUACGCAUUUCCCUUGUAGGCACGCCGUUGGGAUUCCUGUGCUGAGUUCCAACAUGUGGGUGUGUUCCCCCGGCCGAGGAGGGAAGUGUUAAUUCCACACACCAGUCAAUCAUACAGAAUGAAGCUUGAAAUGUGUUUUAGCCAGCCUGUGAUUGAGAAAAUAGAAAAUCUUCUACCUUCAACCCAAAUUAACAUGUAGUCAAAAUGUACUGCUGAUGCGGUAAGUGGCCUUUCUUUGAAGUUAAAGACCAUCUCCCUCCAUUGUAUUGACAGACACUACCAGGGCCAGGUGGGAGAGCUGGGAGGACUUGACCUCAGGGUCCCUGACUUAGGAGCUAUGUGGUCCACAGGGCCUCAGCCCUGGCAUCAUGAUGUCCUUGUCCCACACCCAGAUCAAGUGAAUCAGAACCUCUGGAUGGAGGAGGUAGGCCACUUUUGGUAAAAAGCUCCUGCAGGUCAGCCUGAUGAAGACACAUAUCUAGUUCAAUUCCCUCCUUUUAUGAAAACUGAGGCCUAGGGAGGAGAGGUUGCUUGGCCAAGGGCCCCCCAGGGAGUCUGUAGGAAAACUCUGACUCACCAAUGAAAGACCUGAAUUCAGCCUUGAAUUUUCAAACAGUUGUCCUUGAUUCUGUAGUGUUGUAGUAGAUCAGGCCCAGAAGUGACGGAAGAAGCCACAAUCCUCUUGAGGCUUGCUUGUCUUCCCUCUCUGUGCUUUUCUCUCCCAUCUCAGCCCCUCCACCUCCCAGUCACCUGUGCACCGCCUCCCAGUUGAACAAAAGCCUCACUUAAGCAUGAACCCCAGGCCUGGCUUUCCUAAUCCAUGGCCCCUGCCUUGUGCUAUAUAAAGUGCUGGCCCCUUGAUUAUUAAUUUCCUCACCGCAGGCUGAGACCAGACCUGGAAUACCCCACCAAGCCAAACUCAAAUGUUUGCACAUCCACUUGCUUUAAACAUAGCCCCAAUAAGCCUAUGGUAAUCCAUUUAGAACCUGCCUGCUCUGUAUACUCCAUGAAACUGUAUCCAAUAUCUGCUGGCCAAGGAUAAGCCCCAAGCCAUAAAGGCCUCAAGCCACUGCAGCCCAUAGGAGCUCUCUGACCCAGAGAUUCCCUGCUGUGCUGCUGGGUGACUUCACCUGGCCAUGUAAGCCCCCUUUCCAAUUCUCUUCUUUCCUAGGAGUCCUCUUGCCCUCCUUCCCCUCUGAGUAGGACCCCAUCUCCACACUAU
This 1787-nucleotide long non-coding RNA is filed under the name Homo sapiens (human). Its description in RNAcentral is "HSALNT0038027". Lineage: Eukaryota; Metazoa; Chordata; Mammalia; Primates; Hominidae. The record is from RNAcentral.